GUGCCAGCAGCCGCGGUAAAACGUAGGAGCCUAGCGUUAUCCGAAUUUACUGGGCGUAAAGCGCGUGCAGGCGGCUUGGUAAGUUGGCUGUGAAAUCUCCCGGCUCAACUGGGAGGGGACGGUCAAGACUGCCAGGCUGGAGGCAGGGAGAGGGAGGUGGAAUUCCCGGUGUAGUGGUGAAAUGCGUAGAGAUCGGGAGGAACACCAGUGGCGAAAGCGGCCUCCUGGCCCUGACCUGACGCUGAGACGCGAAAGCUAGGGGAGCGAACGGGAUUAGAAACCCCCGUAGUCC
This 292-nucleotide ribosomal RNA is filed under the name uncultured bacterium. RNAcentral's name for it is "partial 16S ribosomal RNA". It matches the Rfam family "Bacterial small subunit ribosomal RNA", at positions 505 to 796 of the family's 1533-position model. The record is from RNAcentral.